RNAcentral lists this ribosomal RNA (402 nucleotides) under uncultured Sphingobacteriales bacterium. Its description in RNAcentral is "bacterial SSU rRNA". It matches the Rfam family "Bacterial small subunit ribosomal RNA", at positions 353 to 772 of the family's 1533-position model. Lineage: Bacteria; Pseudomonadati; Bacteroidota; Sphingobacteriia; Sphingobacteriales. The record is from RNAcentral.
AGUGGGGAAUAUUGGACAAUGGGCGAAAGCCUGAUCCAGCAAUGCCGCGUGAGUGAUGAAGGCCCUAGGGUUGUAAAGCUCUUUUACCCGGGAUGAUAAUGACAGUACCGGGAGAAUAAGCUCCGGCUAACUCCGUGCCAGCAGCCGCGGUAAUACGGAGGGAGCUAGCGUUGUUCGGAUAUACUGGGCGUAAAGCGCACGUAGGCGGCGCCGUAAGUCAGGGGUGAAAUCCCGGAGCUCAACUCCGGAACUGCCCUUGAAACUGCAGUGCUAGAAUCCUGGAGAGGCGAGUGGAAUUCCGAGUGUAGAGGUGAAAUUCGUAGAUAUUCGGAAGAACACCAGUGGCGAAGGCGACUCGCUGGACAGGUAUUGACGCUGAGGUGCGAAAGCGUGGGGAGCAAA